ACGCUCGACACCUACGGGAGGCAGCAGUGGGAAUAUUGCACAAUGGGGGAAACCCUGAUGCAGCGACGCCGCGUGGAGGAAGAAGGUCUUCGGAUUGUAAACUCCUGUUGUUGGGGAAAAAGNGGAUGGUACCCAACAAGGAAGUGACGGCUAACUACGUGCCACAGCCGCGGUAAUCUGAGCGGGCUGGCAAGGC
Molecule: ribosomal RNA, 196 nt
Filed under: uncultured bacterium
Lineage: Bacteria
Description: partial 16S ribosomal RNA
Rfam family: Bacterial small subunit ribosomal RNA
Source: RNAcentral